UCCGUAGGUGAACCUGCGGAAGGAUCAUUAAUGAAUUUUGAAAGGGGUUGUAGCUGGCCUUCAAGGAGGCAUGUGCACGCCCCGAUCAUCCAUUUCACACCUGUGCACACUUUGUAGGUUGGUUUUUAAUGGUUUCCUCUCGUGAGAGGGGUGCCRUUUUGACCUAUCCUAUGUUUUAUCAUACACACUGUCAGUAUCAGAAUGUCAUUGCGUAUAACGCAUCUUAUACAACUUUCAGCAACGGAUCUCUUGGCUCUCGCAUCGAUGAAGAACGCAGCGAAAUGCGAUAAGUAAUGUGAAUUGCAGAAUUCAGUGAAUCAUCGAAUCUUUGAACGCACCUUGCGCUCCUUGGUAUUCCGAGGAGCAUGCCUGUUUGAGUGUCAUGGAAUUCUCAAUCCCUCUUGCUUUUUGGUGAGAUGGGGUUGGACUUGGAGGUUUUAAUUGCUGGAAUCAUGUCCAUUGAUUCUGGCUCCUCUCAAAUGCRUUAGCUUUGGAACCUUUUGUGGAUCGGCUUCUCAGUGUGAUAAUUGUCUACGCUGUGGGCUGUGAAGCUAAUCAUGCCUUCAUGGUGUGUGGGGUUCUGCUUCUAAUUGUCCUUUCUGUGGGACAAUCUUCUUGACCUCUGACCUCAAAUCAGGUAGGAGUACCCGCUGAACUUAAGCAUAUCAAACG
This 672-nucleotide ribosomal RNA is filed under the name Amyloporia sp. BC-2013. Its description in RNAcentral is "eukaryotic LSU rRNA". The stretch from base 230 to 383 matches the Rfam family "5.8S ribosomal RNA". The record is from RNAcentral. Lineage: Eukaryota; Fungi; Basidiomycota; Agaricomycetes; Polyporales; Adustoporiaceae.